UACGAAGGGGGGCUAGCGUUGCUCGGAAUGACUGGGCGUAAAGGGCGCGUAGGCGGAUGGCUUUGUCGGGCGUGAAAUUCCAGGGCUUAACCUUGGGGCUGCGUUCGAGACGGGUUGUCUUGAGUGGGGAAGAGGGUCGUGGAAUUCCCAGUGUAGAGGUGAAAUUCGUAGAUAUUGGGAAGAACACCGGUGGCGAAGGCGGCAUCCUGGACCGGCAUUGACGCUGAGGCGCGAAAGCCAGGGGGAGCAAACGGG
This 255-nucleotide ribosomal RNA is filed under the name uncultured bacterium. RNAcentral's name for it is "partial 16S ribosomal RNA". It matches the Rfam family "Bacterial small subunit ribosomal RNA", at positions 524 to 776 of the family's 1533-position model. The record is from RNAcentral.